AUUGAACGCUGGCGGCAGGCCUAACACAUGCAAGUCGAGCGGAUGAAGGGAGCUUGCUCCUGGAUUCAGCGGCGGACGGGUGAGUGAUGCCUAGGAAUCUGCCUGGUAGUGGGGGAUAACGUCCGGAAACGGGCGCUAAUACCGCAUACGUCCUGAGGGAGAAAGUGGGGGAUCUUCGGACCUCACGCUAUCAGAUGAGCCUAGGUCGGAUUAGCUAAUUGGUGGGGUAAAGGCCUACCAAGGCGACGAUCCGUAACUGGUCUGAGAGGAUGAUCAGUCACACUGGAACUGAGACACGGUCCAGACUCCUACGGGAGGCAGCAGUGGGGAAUAUUGGACAAUGGGCGAAAGCCUGAUCCAGCCAUGCCGCGUGUGUGAAGAAGGUCUUCGGAUUGUAAAGCACUUUAAGUUGGGAGGAAGGGCAGUAAGUUAAUACCUUGCUGUUUUGACGUUACCAACAGAAUAAGCACCGGCUAACUUCGUG
This 484-nucleotide ribosomal RNA is filed under the name uncultured bacterium. Its description in RNAcentral is "partial 16S ribosomal RNA". It matches the Rfam family "Bacterial small subunit ribosomal RNA", at positions 30 to 507 of the family's 1533-position model. The record is from RNAcentral.